UAGCUCAGUCAGUUGAGUAUAGCGCUAACAAUGCUAAGAUCGUGGGUUCGAUUCCCGU
This 58-nucleotide transfer RNA is filed under the name Apaloderma vittatum (bar-tailed trogon). It matches the Rfam family "tRNA", at positions 8 to 63 of the family's 71-position model. Rfam says of the family: Transfer RNA (tRNA) molecules are approximately 80 nucleotides in length. Lineage: Eukaryota; Metazoa; Chordata; Aves; Trogoniformes; Trogonidae. The record is from Rfam by way of RNAcentral.